RNAcentral lists this ribosomal RNA (505 nucleotides) under uncultured bacterium. RNAcentral describes it as "partial 16S ribosomal RNA". It matches the Rfam family "Bacterial small subunit ribosomal RNA", at positions 28 to 507 of the family's 1533-position model. The record is from RNAcentral.
GACGAACGCUGGCGGCGUGCCUAAUACAUGCAAGUAGAACGCACAGUCUAUACGGUAGCUUGCUACACCAUAGACUGUGAGUUGCGAACGGGUGAGUAACGCGUAGGUAACCUGCCUGGUAGCGGGGGGUAACUAUUGGCAACGAUAGCUAAUACCGCAUAAUAUUAAUUAUUGCAUGUUAAUUAAUUGAAAGGUGGACUUGCACCACUACCAGAUGGAUCUGCGUUGUAUUAGCUAGUAGGUGAGGUAACGGGCCACCCUGGCGACGAGACAUAGCCGACCGGAGAGGACGAGCAGCCACACUGAGAGGGAGACAGGGCCCAGUGGCCUACAGGAGCCAGCAGAAGUGAAACGUGAGCAAUGGGCGGGAGUCUGACCGAGCAGCGCCGAAGGAGUGAACAAGGUUGUCGGGUCGUAAAGCUCUGUUGUAAGGGAAGAACGCGGGUGAGAGUGGAAAGUUCACAAAGUGACGGUAUCUGAACAGAAAGGGACGUCUAACUACGUG